AGCACGGGGGCAACCCUGGUGGCGAGCGGCGAACGGGUGAGUAACACAUCGGAACAUGCCCAGUCGUGGGGGAUAACACUUCGAAAGAAGUGCUAAUACCGCAUACGUCCUGAGGGAGAAAGCGGGGGAUCGCAAGACCUCGCGCGAUUGGAGUGGCCGAUGUCAGAUUAGCUAGUUGGUGGGGUAAAGGCCUACCAAGGCAACGAUCUGUAGCUGGUCUGAGAGGAUGAUCAGCCACACUGAGACUGAGACACGGCCCAGACUCCUACGGGAGGCAGCAGUGGGGAAUUUUGGACAAUGGGGGCAACCCUGAUCCAGCCAUUCCGCGUGAGUAAAGAAGGCCUUCGGGUUGUAAAGCUCUUUCGGCAGGAACGAAACG
This 379-nucleotide ribosomal RNA is filed under the name uncultured bacterium. RNAcentral describes it as "bacterial SSU rRNA". It matches the Rfam family "Bacterial small subunit ribosomal RNA", at positions 71 to 452 of the family's 1533-position model. The record is from RNAcentral.